Molecule: ribosomal RNA, 293 nt
Filed under: uncultured bacterium
Lineage: Bacteria
Description: partial 16S ribosomal RNA
Rfam family: Bacterial small subunit ribosomal RNA
Source: RNAcentral
AGGGUCCUACGGGAGGCAGCAGUGGGGGAUAUUGCACAAUGGGGGGAACCCUGAUGCGGCGACGCCGCGUGGGUGAAGAAGCGCCUCGGCGCGUAAAGCCCUGUCAGCAGGGAAGAAAAUGACGGUACCUGAAGAAGAAGCCCCGGCUAACUACGUGCCAGCAGCCGCGGUAAUACGUAGGGGGCAAGCGUUAUCCGGAAUCACUGGGUGUAAAGGGAGCGUAGACGGCUGUGCAAGCCUGAAGUGAAAGGCGGGGGCCCAACCCCUGGACUGCUUUGGGAACUGUACGGCUG